CCUGCCCCUAGAGGCAUUGCAGACGUGGCUGCUGUGUCACAUGUGUGUCAGUAGGUGGCAGAGCAGAGAGAAUCUAUCUAGGCUCACUGU
Molecule: small nucleolar RNA, 90 nt
Filed under: Mus spicilegus (steppe mouse)
Lineage: Eukaryota; Metazoa; Chordata; Mammalia; Rodentia; Muridae
Description: Small nucleolar RNA SNORA17 (ENSMSIG00000022942.1)
Rfam family: Small nucleolar RNA SNORA17
About the family: snoRNA ACA 17 belongs to the H/ACA family of snoRNAs and is predicted to guide pseudouridylation of the 28S rRNA at positions U4659 and U4598.
Source: Rfam by way of RNAcentral